RNAcentral lists this unclassified non-coding RNA (279 nucleotides) under plant metagenome. Its description in RNAcentral is "partial contains small subunit ribosomal RNA, internal transcribed spacer 1, and 5.8S ribosomal RNA". The record is from RNAcentral.
UUUCCGUAGGUGAACCUGCGGAAGGAUCAUUAUCACACUACUUCUAUAACGUUCCGUUCUAUCCCAAUGUUUUAUUUACCCUGUUGCUAAUAAUGGAUGAUAUUCAAUACCUUGUGUUUGAGGAACUUUGGCUUGUUACAGCUUCAUUCAAGACCAGCCAUUGAGAAGAAAAUUUACAAUACACUGUUAAGAAAAAUUUGUCUGAAUAUUUUACUUCAAUGAUAUAAAAGUUUCAACAACGGAUAUCUAACCUCUUACAUCGAUGAUGAACGCAGCAGA